Molecule: ribosomal RNA, 460 nt
Filed under: uncultured bacterium
Lineage: Bacteria
Description: partial 16S ribosomal RNA
Rfam family: Bacterial small subunit ribosomal RNA
Source: RNAcentral
CCUACGGGAGGCAGCAGUGAGGAAUAUUGGUCAAUGGGCUUACGCCUGAACCAGCCAAGUCGCGUGAGGGAAGACUGCCCUAUGGGUUGUAAACCUCUUUUGUCAGGGAGCAACGCCGGCUACGUGUAGCCGGUCUGAGAGUCUCUGAAGAACAAGCAUCGGCUAACUCCGUGACAGCAGCCGCGGUAAUACGGAGGAUGCGAGCGUUAUCCGGAUUUAUUGUGUUUAAAGGGUGCGUAGGCGGAAUGCCAAGUCAGCGGUAAAAUCGCGGGGCUCAACCUCGCUCCGCAGUUGAUACUGGCUUUCUUGAGUGGGCGAGAUGUAUGCGGAAUGCGUGGUGUAGCGGUGAAAUGCAUAGAUAUCACGAAGAACUCCGAUUGCGAAGGCAGCAUACCGGCGCCCAACUGACGCUGAAGCACGAAAGCGUGGGUAUCGAACAGGAGUAGAUACCCUUGUAGUC